AAAGAGUUUCAGAAUCACGAUGUAGCCACAAGUCAAAUUCUAGAAAGAAUUAAUGGCACAUCUCAUAGUUCUUUCAUUUGCUGGCUGAUUCAUUCCAGAGUGGUUUUGAGGACAGAAUGAAGCAAGAUGAAAAACAGCACUUUGAAAAUGGAGUGUGUGGUAUUCAUCUUAGAUACACUUUUAGAGAAGAAGAAAUGUGUCUCAGAAAAAGGACCUCUUCUGACUCAAAUUUAGCUUACAUCCCCUUCUCAACCAUAUCCCAGGUGAUAAAAUAUGACACCCAGGUAAGCAGUGGCCUUGUGGACUCUGAAGAAGUUCUUAACGUGUCCACGGCACAUUCUCAUUUUGUCUGGCUCUAAACUACUGUCUCAAGAAAGCUGCAAAUAUUUGAAAGUAACAAUAAAGUGUUAACAGUAAUUCUGACUAAAAUCACAGCAGUCCCUCUGGUAGAAAGGCAGUAAAUUCUUUGCUCAGGUAAAACGUAGGAAAGAAACACAAGUAGAAAAAAAUCCCAUUUGUUCAAAUUAUCCCUAUCAAUCUUAAGAAUUAUCGCCAAGUUUGUUUUGUUUUGCAUCAUUAAUAGCCCAAAUCCCACGUGCCAAAAUAAUGUUUACCGCAUUUCUCGAGACAAGUUACCCUUGAGAGCCAGUAUGUCUGAGGCUUCCCAGAAGAGUGAUUUUGGUGCAACAAAUAAUGACCUAUACAAACCAGCCCUUACAACUGCACACACACCACAACACAACACAGUGUCAAGCUAACAUCUGCUUUCCAAAUAACCAUGAGGAUAGCAAUAUGACAUUUCCAGGCCCUUCUCUGAGAAGAAACGACUUUCCCAAGGUGUUGGCUUUGAAACUAGAGUCCUUGCAUUGAUUUGCCAGCGGGUAAAGGGAAUCAUAUAACAGUUCUAAUCACUUCACCGGGCUCUGCAGGCAGUUCACAGAACUAAAGGAAGUGGGGGCUUUGGUUCAUUCACUAUCAGCCAUCAAGUUAUGCUAUUUCCCAUCCUUUUAAUAUCCUUAAAAUGGCAAGGUCUGUGUUUAUGGUUUUGACCUUGAAACUGAAGUAACAGCUCUACCUAUUCUCCCAAAGUUCCAGAUAUACUUUGGGGAACUUUGACUUCUGAUAAGACAGCUGGGGUAGGGGGUGAGGAGAGGGUUGGAAAGUUCUACCUCAGUGAGAAGAUUCUUGGUCAACUAGAGGGAGUGAGGGCUAUCCCACAAGACCUCCCCUUCCCCCACAGGAUGCUCAGGACUUCUUCUCAGCUAGCCAGCAGCUAAGCUGGUAGGGCUGAGAACGGCAUUCCUUUGAAAGAUCUUGGCAAUUUGUGCCUGGAAGUUGAUGCAUUAGUUCUAAAAUUAAACAAAGAUCCUGUAGUGUUCUUCAAGGAAAUAUGGUGUGCCUCUAUGACAAAACACAUUUUUCAAGCUCUGACCUCUGGGAGCUUCAACUAGCUCCAUAUUUCAGGCUGACAAUGCUCACAGGCUACUGUCUAGUUGCCCAAGCCAGGGCUGGUUAGCCAUAUAUUUUCUACCUCCAUCAGCUUUUAGCAUAGGGAGGUGAAGGGAGUAAAUAAAAAGAGGAGAGCCACUAAUUUACAUGCACUUCCCCUCCCAAGACCCUUGGGGAGAAGCCUUGGUAAUUAACUCUAAUGAGAUUAAAGUAACUUGGAACUCUUCAUUUUCCCAGCACUGUAAAACUAAAUCUGCGAUAACCAGUGUGUGGGCAUUAAAUCAAAGUCAGUCCUUUUUCCUGCUAUUUAAUGGCCCCCUCACUCCC
This 1776-nucleotide long non-coding RNA is filed under the name Homo sapiens (human). RNAcentral describes it as "HSALNT0040077". Lineage: Eukaryota; Metazoa; Chordata; Mammalia; Primates; Hominidae. The record is from RNAcentral.